GCGGACAGAUGGGAGCUUGCUCCCUGAUGUUAGCGGCGGACGGGUGAGUAACACGUGGGUAACCUGCCUGUAAGACUGGGAUAACUCCGGGAAACCGGGGCUAAUACCGGAUGGUUGUUUGAACCGCAUGGUUCAAACAUAAAAGGUGGCUUCGGCUACCACUUACAGAUGGACCCGCGGCGCAUUAGCUAGUUGGUGAGGUAACGGCUCACCAAGGCAACGAUGCGUAGCCGACCUGAGAGGGUGAUCGGCCACACUGGGACUGAGACACGGCCCAGACUCCUACGGGAGGCAGCAGUAGGGAAUCUUCCGCAAUGGACGAAAGUCUGACGGAGCAACGCCGCGUGAGUGAUGAAGGUUUUCGGAUCGUAAAGCUCUGUUGUUAGGGAAGAACAAGUACCGUUCGAAUAGGGCGGUACCUUGACGGUACCUAACCAGAAAGCCACGGCUAACUACGUGCCAGCAGCCGCGGUAAUACGUAGGUGGCAAGCGUUGUCCGGAAUUAUUGGGCGUAAAGGGCUCGCAGGCGGUUUCUUAAGUCUGAUGUGAAAGCCCCCGGCUCAACCGGGGAGGGUCAUUGGAAACUGGGGAACUUGAGUGCAGAAGAGGAGAGUGGAAUUCCACGUGUAGCGGUGAAAUGCGUAGAGAUGUGGAGGAACACCAGUGGCGAAGGCGACUCUCUGGUCUGUAACUGA
Molecule: ribosomal RNA, 695 nt
Filed under: Bacillus subtilis
Lineage: Bacteria; Bacillati; Bacillota; Bacilli; Caryophanales; Bacillaceae
Description: bacterial SSU rRNA
Rfam family: Bacterial small subunit ribosomal RNA
Source: RNAcentral